This 256-nucleotide ribosomal RNA is filed under the name uncultured bacterium. Its description in RNAcentral is "partial 16S ribosomal RNA". It matches the Rfam family "Bacterial small subunit ribosomal RNA", at positions 524 to 776 of the family's 1533-position model. The record is from RNAcentral.
UACAGAGGUCCCAAGCGUUUGUUCGGAUUCACUGGGCGUAAAGGGUGCGCAGGUGGUUUAGCAAGUUUGACGUGAAAGCCCCGGGCUUAACCCGGGAAUGGCGUUGAAAACUGUUUGAACUGGAGGGUCGGAGGGGGGGACUGGAAUUCUUGGUGUAGCAGUGAAAUGCGUAGAUAUCAAGAGGAACACCAGUGGCGAAGGCGAGUCCCUGGACGAUACCUGACACUGAGGCACGAAAGCUAGGGGAGCAAACAGG